This 853-nucleotide ribosomal RNA is filed under the name uncultured Clostridia bacterium. RNAcentral's name for it is "bacterial SSU rRNA". It matches the Rfam family "Bacterial small subunit ribosomal RNA", at positions 36 to 896 of the family's 1533-position model. Lineage: Bacteria; Bacillati; Bacillota; Clostridia. The record is from RNAcentral.
CUGGCGGCGUGCAUAACACAUGCAAGUCGAACGAUGAACCUUAUUAGAUUUCUUCGGAAUGAAAAUAAGUGGAUUAGUGGCGAACGGGUGAGUAACACGUGAGUAACCUGCCUUACACAAGGGGAUAGCCUUUGGAAACGAAGAAUAAUACCCUAUAAAGUCAAAAUAUCGCAUGAUAUAGUGACCAAAGAUUUAUCGGUGUAAGAUGGACUUGCGUCUGAUUAGCUAGUUGGUGAGAUAAAAGCCCACCAAGGCGACGAUCAGUAGCCGGCUUGAGAGAGUGUACGGCCACAUUGGGACUGAGACACGGCCCAAACUCCUACGGGAGGCAGCAGUGGGGAAUUUUGCACAAUGGGGGAAACCCUGAUGCAGCGACGCCGCGUGAUUUAGAAGGCCUUCGGGUUGUAAAAAUCUUUUCUAUGGGAAGAAAAUGACAGUACCAUAGGAAUAAGGACCGGCUAAUUACGUGCCAGCAGCCGCGGUAAUACGUAAGGUCCGAGCGUUGUCCGGAAUCAUUGGGCGUAAAGGGUACGUAGGCGGGUAAGCAAGUUAGAAGUGAAAUCCUAUAGUUCAACUAUAGUAAGCUUUUAAAACUGCUCAUCUUGAGGUAUGGAAGGGAAAGUGGAAUUCCUAGUGUAGCGGUGAAAUGCGCAGAUAUUAGGAGGAAUACCGGUGGCGAAGGCGACUUUCUGGCCAUAACCUGACGCUGAGGUACGAAAGCGUGGGUAGCAAACAGGAUUAGAUACCCUGGUAGUCCACGCCGUAAACGAUGAGUGUUAGGUGUCUGGAGUAAAUCUGGGUGCCGCAGCUAACGCAUUAAACACUCCGCCUGGGGAGUACGCGCGCAAGCGUA